RNAcentral lists this transfer RNA (94 nucleotides) under Dunaliella salina. RNAcentral's name for it is "tRNA-Ser". It matches the Rfam family "tRNA". From Rfam's summary of the family: Transfer RNA (tRNA) molecules are approximately 80 nucleotides in length. Their secondary structure includes four short double-helical elements and three loops (D, anti-codon, and T loops). The record is from RNAcentral. Lineage: Eukaryota; Viridiplantae; Chlorophyta; Chlorophyceae; Chlamydomonadales; Dunaliellaceae.
GCAACCUUGGCCGAGUGGUUAAGGCGCUGGUCUCGAAAACUUUUCGAUGUAACCAGUCCCGAAAGGGUCGCGCGUUCGAAUCGCGCAGGUUGCG